CGUAAAGCGUACGCAGGCGGUUUGUUAAGCGAGAUGUGAAAGCCCCGGGCUCAACCUGGGAACUGCAUUUCGAACUGGCAAACUAGAGUGUGAUAGAGGGUGGUAGAAUUUCAGGUGUAGCGGUGAAAAUGCGUAGAGAUCUGAAGGAAUACCGAUGGCGAAGGCAGCCACCUGGGUCAACACUGACGCUCAUGUACGAAAGCGUGGGGAGCAAACGGGAUUAGAUACCCUGGUAG
RNAcentral lists this ribosomal RNA (236 nucleotides) under uncultured bacterium. RNAcentral's name for it is "partial 16S ribosomal RNA". It matches the Rfam family "Bacterial small subunit ribosomal RNA", at positions 559 to 793 of the family's 1533-position model. The record is from RNAcentral.